This is an RNA transcript of Canis lupus familiaris (dog), 775 nucleotides long. It is a transcript of the gene named zinc finger protein 419-like, with no coding region annotated. The record is from RefSeq and is a predicted model, not a curated record. The transcript has 6 exons. NCBI's taxonomy places the organism in Eukaryota, Metazoa, Chordata, Mammalia, Carnivora, Canidae.
UUCUGGCGCGGCUGCAGGGGCGGGCGUUUUCGGGCCUCUGGGGCCGGUUGGUCUGAACUGAAGUUCAGGAAGGGAGCUGUGGGGUUGGGGUGACGAGAGCGGGAAGCUGCAACAAGAGGUGGGGCUGCGGUACCGCAGCGGCGCGGGAUCGGGGCCCCCGGUGCUGGUCCUCCUCCCCCGGCGCCGCUCCGCCCGCAGAGUCCGAUGGCGGCGGCCGCGCAGAGGGACCUGGCUCAGGUUCCUAUUGCUGCAGAUUUGCUUCCAUACCAUGCGGAGGGCCAUGUGACCUUUGAGGAUGUGGCUGUCUACUUCUCUUGGGAGGAGUGGGGACUCCUUGAUGAAGCCCAGAGACUCCUAUACCGUGAUGUGAUGCUGGAGAACUUUUCACUGAUGGCCUCUCUGGAGCUGCCUCAGUACUUGCUGCCCCAAAACUGCAGGAAAAGAUUUGGGAAUUAGGAGUCUUGAAGUCAGCCUAAUGGAUCACACCCUUUUGGCCUCUCCCUGGCCUGGGAUGCUGUAAAGAUCUAUGGCAGCUCCAUGCCCCAGGUUCUGCUCUCUUCCUCUGGCUGCCAUGGGAUGCGCCUAUACCUGCAAUUGAGGCACUAAAAUGGCCACUGCUUGACUAGGUUGUUCUUGACUUGCAUCUUCCAGGACUCAUGAAGUUAGCCGAUUGGAGUGGUGGAGAGAACCCUUUUUGCCUCCCUGUGGAGUCAUGACUGCAGCCAUGCCAGGAGGUUGGUGGCAUAGAGCAGAGAUUGAGGAAGGACCUCUUGAG